AGUUUGAGCCCCCGAAACUAGAUGAGCUACUUCGGAAUAGUCUUAAGAACAAACCCGUCUCUGUCGCAAAAGAGUGGGAUAAUUUCCAAGUAGAGGCGACAAACCUAUCGCACCUAGAGAUAGCUGGUUAUUCAAGAAAAGAAUUUAAGUUCAACCUUAAGUUUCUACAUUAAACAAAAAACAACUUUAGAGCCACUCAAAUAAGGCACAGCUUAUUUGAGGCAGGAUACAACCUACAACACAGGGUAACACGACAAAUAAAUAACAAGUAGGCCCAAAAGCAGCCACCUUCAAAAAAGCGUCAGAGCUUAAUAUUUAUUCUAUAUUAAUACCAUCCCCCCUUACUAACCCUUCACCUAUAUUGAAUAACUCCAUAAACUUAUGGAAAUUUUUAUGCUAGAACUAGUAACAAGAAAUAGACUUUCUCCUAAAUGUAAGCUUAGGCCGUAACAGACAAACUAUCGGCAAUUAACGUAAAUGAACACAAUACAGCAACUCUAACAAGAAAACCCUGUAUAUACACAACGUUACCCUUACACCAGAACAUUUAAGGAAAGAUUAAAAGA
RNAcentral lists this ribosomal RNA (566 nucleotides) under Mantidactylus femoralis. RNAcentral describes it as "partial 16S ribosomal RNA". It matches the Rfam family "Bacterial large subunit ribosomal RNA", at positions 704 to 1687 of the family's 2925-position model. The record is from RNAcentral. Lineage: Eukaryota; Metazoa; Chordata; Amphibia; Anura; Mantellidae.